AGUGAACGCUGGCGGCAGGCCUAACACAUGCAAGUCGAGCGGCAGAAGGGUGCUUGCUCCUGGAUUCAGCGGCGGACGGGUGAGUAAUGCCUAGGAAUCUCCCUGUUAGUGUGUGAUAACGUCCGGAAACGGGGGCUCAUACCGCAUUCGUCCUGAGGGCGUAAGUGUGGGAUCUUCGGACCUUCCGCUAUCAGAUGAUCCGAGGUCGGAUUAGCUAGUUGGUGGGGUAAAGGCCUACCAAGGCGACGAUCCGUAACUGGUCUGAGAGGAUGAUCAGUCACACUGGAACUGAGACACGGUCCAGACUCCUACGGGAGGCAGCAGUGGGGAAUAUUGGACAAUGGGCGAAAGCCUGAUCCAGCCAUGCCGCGUGUGUGAAGAAGGUCUUCGGAUUGUAAAGCACUUUUAGUUGGGAGGAAAGGCAGUAGGUUAAUACCUUGCUGUUUUGACGGUACCAAAAGAAUAAGCACCGGCUAACUUCGUG
Molecule: ribosomal RNA, 484 nt
Filed under: uncultured bacterium
Lineage: Bacteria
Description: partial 16S ribosomal RNA
Rfam family: Bacterial small subunit ribosomal RNA
Source: RNAcentral